This 762-nucleotide long non-coding RNA is filed under the name Coffea arabica (coffee). Its description in RNAcentral is "long non-coding RNA (CARA_LNC001991)". The record is from RNAcentral. Lineage: Eukaryota; Viridiplantae; Streptophyta; Magnoliopsida; Gentianales; Rubiaceae.
GAUGAGCACCCCUUUAUAAUUUUUGCAAUGUAUUCUUAGAAGAACAUUCUUGUCGCACACUUUAGCUUCAAAUUCAGGGAGUGGCUGCUCAUUCGGGCCAGCCAUCUCAUCUGAAGAUCUUUCAUCUUCAAGUAAGAGUUGUGAUCUCUUCACAAGCACCACAGACUCCAUGGUUUGUCUAGCAGCUUUCUCCUCCAGUGUCUUUACUCUCUCCUGAAGAUGUUUUAGGUACUCGAUGGCAUCUCCAAGAAUGGAACUUUUAUCCAUCUGCACCAUUAUAAGUUCUUCUCAGAGAAAACUUUGACAAGAUUUUGAUGUGUAAAUUAUGUAGUGAAAUGUCUAUGCAUGUGCGUAGUAAAGUCUGUGGGGUUAUCAUUGUCCGCCAUCUAUAAUGUUUUCUUGAUUCGGUAAAGAGCAGAGUGUCAAGUAGAAAGCAAAAUAUAGGCACAUAUUUGGCAUAUGAAUGAAGUUGUAGUCAAAUAAAAUUUCAUGGAGAUGCUAUUGUGGUAACCGUAAUUAGGCUACAUAAACGUGACAAUGACAUGAAAAAUGACUUUCUCUCAAACCCUAGUUAUGGAUUAUUUUCCUUUUCUUUUCUGCUUUUGGAGAAAAUAGAUGGUACUGCUCACCUUCUUGAGGCCAGGAACUAUGGCGGAAAGAGCCAUGAAUCUCUGGCUGAGCUGCUCGCGUCGCUUUCUUUCUGCUAUUAUGUGAUCAUAGGUUUGUGAUGGUGGCCUAACACGACCACCAGGUUUCUUUGCU